This 764-nucleotide ribosomal RNA is filed under the name Rhodococcoides fascians. RNAcentral describes it as "bacterial SSU rRNA". It matches the Rfam family "Bacterial small subunit ribosomal RNA", at positions 43 to 824 of the family's 1533-position model. The record is from RNAcentral. Lineage: Bacteria; Bacillati; Actinomycetota; Actinomycetes; Mycobacteriales; Nocardiaceae.
CGUGCUUAACACAUGCAAGUCGAGCGGUAAGGCCUUUCGGGGUACACGAGCGGCGAACGGGUGAGUAACACGUGGGUGAUCUGCCCUGCACUCUGGGAUAAGCCUGGGAAACUGGGUCUAAUACCGGAUAUGACCUGUCCUCGCAUGGGGGUGGGUGGAAAGAUUUAUCGGUGCAGGAUGGGCCCGCGGCCUAUCAGCUUGUUGGUGGGGUAAUGGCCUACCAAGGCGACGACGGGUAGCCGACCUGAGAGGGUGACCGGCCACACUGGGACUGAGACACGGCCCAGACUCCUACGGGAGGCAGCAGUGGGGAAUAUUGCACAAUGGGCGGAAGCCUGAUGCAGCGACGCCGCGUGAGGGAUGAAGGCCUUCGGGUUGUAAACCUCUUUCAGCAGGGACGAAGCGUGAGUGACGGUACCUGCAGAAGAAGCACCGGCUAACUACGUGCCAGCAGCCGCGGUAAUACGUAGGGUGCGAGCGUUGUCCGGAAUUACUGGGCGUAAAGAGUUCGUAGGCGGUUUGUCGCGUCGUUUGUGAAAACCCGGGGCUCAACUUCGGGCUUGCAGGCGAUACGGGCAGACUUGAGUGUUUCAGGGGAGACUGGAAUUCCUGGUGUAGCGGUGAAAUGCGCAGAUAUCAGGAGGAACACCGGUGGCGAAGGCGGGUCUCUGGGAAACAACUGACGCUGAGGAACGAAAGCGUGGGUAGCAAACAGGAUUAGAUACCCUGGUAGUCCACGCCGUAAACGGUGGGCGCUAGGUGUG